This 75-nucleotide transfer RNA is filed under the name Pseudomonadota bacterium. RNAcentral's name for it is "Proteobacteria bacterium tRNA-Thr". It matches the Rfam family "tRNA". Rfam says of the family: Transfer RNA (tRNA) molecules are approximately 80 nucleotides in length. RNAcentral also lists the same sequence under 3 other names. Lineage: Bacteria; Pseudomonadati; Pseudomonadota. The record is from RNAcentral.
GCCAGUGUAGCUCAGUGGCAGAGCAGCUGUUUCGUAAACAGCAGGUCGUCGGUUCGAACCCGACCACUGGCUCCA